GCAGAAUUGUGGAGACUCUAAAAGACUGUUUAAGCUGCCGAUGUGUGCCACUGCAGUAUGUGUUAGCAUUAGCAUUAGCCACGGAGAUCAGCCACGAUAACCCUAACCACUGCAAAAUAAAAGAGGGAAAAGAAAGAAAGCAACUGUGUGAUUGAUGAGUGGAGUCCUGCUCAAACCCUGGGCAGAUGAAACAUCCUUUUUCAAGUGGGGAAACUGCACAAACUCUGAGAAAAAUCAUCAGUGAGAAUCACCUGUCAUUGAAAGGGGGAGGACACUUGACACGAUGGGAGACGCCAGUGUUUACAAACAGUGACGUCACGAAGUCACGUGAUUACCGCGCUGGUUGGCAAAAGGAACCAGAGGAACAAUGGCUGAUGAUAACAAUGCAAACUAUCCUUCCGUGAAAUUGUCCGAUUAUGCUCAAUCCUUAUCACCUGAGGCCCGACAAAUAUACGUGAUUGGCAGGAGGAGGAGAGUCUGACGGAGGAGCAGAGGAAUGUUGGCAGCCAUUUAGUCUGAGCUCAACAACGGAGGAAACAUGGAUUCUUCACAAAAAAAAUGUAAAUGCAGCAAUGGAAUGAGAUGUCGGACCUCUGAGGAGGAUAAGGAUGGUUCGGCAACAACAGCAAAAAGAGAUGAAUCACUGAGUUGUGAGCAAUAUGACAAGACUUUUAUCACAGCAAGAAAGCUAAGAAUUCACAAACGUGUUCACACUGUGGACAAACCAUUCAGCUGUGAUCAGUGUGGAAAAGCUUUUACUCUGAAGGGACACUUAAAAAGCCAUCAACUCAUUCACAGUGGAGUUAAACCAUUCAACUGUGAUCAGUGUGGAAAGGCUUUUACUCAGAAGUGUGAUCUAGCAAAACAUCAACUCAUUCACAGUGGAGUGAAAUCAUUCAGCUGUGAUCAGUGUGGAAAGGCUUUUACUCUGAAGAUUCAGUUAAAAAGCCAUCAACUCAUUCACAGUGGAGUUAAACCAUUCAACUGUGAUCAGUGUGUGAAAACCUUUACUCAACAUGAACAGUUGUUGAUCCAUCAAUGCCCCUUUCUAGUAGAAAGCGGUACCACUGUGACUCCUGUGAAAAAACUUUCAACGACCAACAGAGCUUAAAACGUCACCAACGCAUCCACACUGGACAUGAUGUGUACGUAUGUGAUCACUGUGGCAAACUAUUUGUACGGUACUCACAGUUAAAAGCUCAUGAAGUGACCCACACUGGGGUUAAACCAUACCUUUGUGACCAGUGUGGGAAACGCUACAGCUAUAUUAACAACCUCAAAGUUCACCAACGUGUCCACACUGGGGAGAGACCAUGCAGAUGUGACAAGUGUAAGAAGACUUUUACAACUUUGGGUUCCCUGAAACAACACCAGCAGAUCCACACCAGAAAGAAAGCAUUCAAUCAGUGUCACAAUGAGAACGGAACAGAUGGACAAAAGUCUCAGACUUGUCAGCACUCUGCCAAUGGUGAACAGUGCUGCUUUGACCAGUCUGGACCAACGUCCAACCAACAAGUAACCCUACAACGACACCAGCGUAUGCACACUGGACACAGACUGAACCCCUGCCAAGAAGAUUUCGCCAUGCAGGGUUCAGUAAAAGUUCAUGAAGUCCUCCACAAACUUAAAGUCCUUGAGAUCCGGCUUCACAGAAUUCAGGUCUAAUUUCUUGUUUAGUGGCUUCGUUGCUUCGUUGCGAAAUCCGUUAAGAAGAAAGCUGUCGUUAACAUUGAACAAGUAUAAUAUUGAACAAGUAGAUCAACUAAUCUCUGAUUAUGUGUGAGUUGAAAUAUAAAAACAUGAAGUGUUGGAUGAAAAGUCCAAUUUUUGAAAGCUGACAUGUAGUUUAGAAUCAUUUCUUUGUAAAUUAGCUGCAUCCAGUCAUUACCAUGACAUUGGCAUCAUGGAACCAUGACCACAUAUAUGUGUCUGGAGAUAGUGGCAUUUUUAUAACGGCACAUUUUCAUGCUUUGACCGAUACAGUGAGGGAAAAAAGUUUUCAGACACCCUGAAAAUUUUUACACAAUCUUAAAUAUUGUCAUUAAAUAUUUGUUGAAAAGUCUUUUUUUGUGUGUUUCUCAGGGUGUGGCUGCAUCAGACAGACAAAAAUACAAAUUAUAUUUUUUGUUUGUUUGUUGUUCACAAGAAAAACUAACAAAACUAAAUUCUACCAAAUUUCUCAUUUUAUGGAACCAGUUAGAUGAAAACAAACUGACUUUUUUAAAAAAAUAAAUUUGCAUCUCCCUAUGUUGCUUUUGCUUCAUUUUGGUCAUUUUGUUCCUAAUUUCAAUGAAUUUUACAUCUGUUUUUGUGACUUUUUGUACCAUUCUGACCAUUUUGUGGUUCAUGUUGGUCAUUUUGUGUGCCUUUAAGGUUGUUAUUGUUUGAAAUUGUUCAUGUUGCUCAUUUUGGUCAUUUCAUAUGUUCAUUUGGUCAUUCUGUGACUCAUAUUGGUCAUUUUUGUUUCACUCCGUGUCUCUUUAUUUUUAUUUGUCUGCUUUGCUUCAUUUAUGUCAUUUUGCAUCACUUUUAGCUUGUUUUUUUUCAAUUUUGACAAUUUUGUAUCUCACUUUGAUCAUUUCUCAUCUCUCUUUGGGUUUUGUUUUUUUAUUGUUUCUUAGCUUAGAUUCAACUUUACUGUCAUUGUACAGAGUACAAGUACUAAGACAGUAAAUGCAUUUUUUAAAAGUCCGUUGUGAUGUCAGAGAGAAGAACUAACAACUGUUACCACAUUCCAUAUUCUGAAGAAAAACACUGAAACACUUGAGAAAGUCAGUUUAACACACAAACCUUGGAGAUAUUGGAGAGUUGUGGUGAAGAUUUCAAAUGUGAAACUCGUGAAGACAUUGAGUGUUAGGGAAUUCUGCGACGUCGGAAAAAGAAUCAGGAGGCAGACUCAGAGACACACUGGAGACUCAGAUGGCUUAUGUUGAGAAUAAGGUUUACUGAUCAGGAGAAAUGAUACAGUGAGUAACACAGUGAUGUGAGCACUGGCAGCAUCAGUUCUAAGGAGUCUCUCUGGCCUUGGGUACUUAUACCAUUUUGGAAGGCAUGCCAUGUUUAUGUUACACUCCAAAUAUGGAGACAGGAAAGUGAGCUCAGGUUCCAUCUUGUUAUUCUGUCAUCGUUGUCUUUUAUCCCUAUGUUAUCUUUACCAAGCGUCCGUCUGUCUCAGGCUCAGAUUGUGGACAGAGAGAACAUAAACACGUUUGCAUCCUCAAUUAAGGAGAACCACAGGUCAGGGGUAACAUCUUGUAGAGUAGUUUGGGGUGAAUUGGUACUUACACUUGAUUUAGGGUGGCUGCAGCUGGCAGACGCACCAGCAUUUAGGAUGUCAUUAAAUAACAGCUGAGGGGACACCUCAGUCAUGAGAAAGUGAGUACUUUUUCCCCAACAGAUCCCUUCUUUUUGAUCGUAAGAGGGGAAAAUUAACAUUUAAAAAACUCUGGUCAGAGAGCUCCAGAAAACUGAUCCUGUAACAUUUGAAAACGAUGGUUGUCUCAUCAAAAUAUAAACAGAAUAUAGUUGAUCACAUUCUCCAGUACAUUUUCAAUUCAGUUCAUAAUAAAUUCUAUCACAAACAGACCGUGAGCCUCAAAGGUUUAUGCAGGUCGGAACGAAAACCCAGUGGGACAGCAUUUUCCUACCACCCCCUAUAAGUUUGGGAAUAGAUUCACUUCACCAAAUUCAUGGGUGGCGAUCCUAGAGAUCUGCAUAACAGCUCAAGAGCCUGUUUCCCUCAGAGCUUCAGCUGGUAUCCAGGCAACACAGUUACUUUCAUGUCAUUCAUGAUUAUCCACAAAAUACAAAACACAGUAUAAAACUUAUCGUAAGGCAUGCUUGAGUGAUUAAUACUAAACAAACUUAUGAUUGAAAUGUAGAUGUGACAACACAGUGUAUGAGGCAUGAGUGGUGUGCAGGCAGGCAGUUGCAUCUUUCCAGCUGAUCUGGACUAAUCAUCUUUUAUUCGUCCCAAUCACACUGUGGGAUCGAUGCUCCAGACCCUCCUAUUCCUCAGAAUCAGCGCAACUCAAAUGAGCACAAUGAUGCAAUGUGUAAAUCAGUAUACAGCAACACGUCCAGUAAAAUUCAUAAAUCACAGUAAAAUGUUGUUAAAAUCAUUGAUUAACUUUAAGAUAAAUGCUUCGAUUACAGUGUAAUUUCCAGUUACUAUUAAAAAUCAACAUUCAGUAUUCUUCACCAGCUAUCACUAUCUGUUGUGUUAUUUAAUUCUACACUGUACAGGUGAACACAAUGAUCCAAUUCUGUGUUACCCAUUAUUUAUCUAUCACUAAUUUAGUUACUUGAUCAACAGUAAUAUGCACUUCAGCACACAUUUUAUCAUAUUAAUAUAGAGGCUAAAGUAGUAAGCAAACCACUCACACAAAUAUUGUUAGAAAUCAAAAAAAUUCAAACAAUCCUGUAAAGUUUCUAAAGUCAAAUCUGUGUGAUUCUUUCAACCUUGAACUAUUACUUUGCAAGUUCCUCUACUCCUUGAGCAUCCAGGAGGAGGACAAGUUCCAUCCUAUUCUAUAGACCAGGGGUGUCAAACUCAGUUCCUGGAGGGCCACUGUCCUGCAUGUUUUAGAUGUUUCCCUCUUCCAACACAACUGACUCAAAUGAUCAGCUCGUUAUCAGGCUUCUGCAGAGGCUUGAUGACGAGCUGAUCAUUUGAGUCAGGUGUGUUGGAGCAGGGAAGCAUCUAAAACAUGCAGGACAUGGGGUCCUGAGGAACAGGGUUGAGAACCACUGGUAUAAAGCAUAGGGACAAUUCUUGAUAGGUGCCAGAUACUGAUUGCAAUUUCUUAAUAAGGGUUUACAAUUUGGAACUCCAACUGAACACUUAUUGAUUUUUACAGUGUUUUUCUACGGUGUGCGUCCCCAGCUAGGGCUGCACCACCACUAUUAUAUUCAAAGGAUGUUCAAUAUGUGACCUUCUAUAGUUGGUUUAAACCAGUGGAAGUAACAUUAGAUACUCAUAGCCAUUCAUCAUAGAGUUUGACUGAUUGGCUUUUCAGUAGUUUACAUGAAUUGAUCUAGGCUAGAAGAUGUUUUUGUUAACCUCAUUCUGUCAUUUACUAGUAUUCAGUAAAUUCAGUCAUGUUUAUGGGAAAGUCAUGGAGAAUCAGUCUGCUGCAUCUCCCUCCAUCCUUUAAUCUAACCUGUUCCAGUUUACCUGCUUUAUAGUCUGCUAGAGGAAAGAUUAUUGAGGUAAACAUGGCAGAAUACAUGGAGUUAGGCAUAUGUUGAUACAUCCACAGAUUACGUUAUUAUUAAGUUCUUAUUACUCCUGAUGUGUGUCUGUCCAGACUCUGCCACAAAACGCAUUAUUUUACUUAUGUUUAGCUGAACAGGUGGUUUUCUUCUUCAGUUGACAUAUAAACUCCAAAAAGGAAACAGUUUAAAAUUAGUUGCAUAAUUACCACACACAGGAUCAUUGUCCAACUGAUGUGAUGUGAAACGCCAUAAAUCCGGAAUUUCAAAGUGGGUAAAGAUCAGUAAUCUCAACCUUUUGCCUAGAAACUUUGUGUAGCUCAAGGAACGACACCCUGGACACUUUAACCAGAUCAAGGUCCAGGAUCUUCCAGACCCAGUUACCUUCAGAAUCAUAACCAGGUUGAACAAUAUAACAAUCUUGAGCCUUGCACCUGUUGUUGGAACAGUAGAAGGAAAUCUAUCGAUCCGUUCUUCAUAGGGUGAUAACCAGAGUCUGAGUCCACAGAGUCAGUUUCUCCUUUCUCGUCUCUCUGUAGUUAUCAGUGUUUGUAUGAGAGGAGCAGUCCAAACAGUCUAUUGUCUUUUUGUUUUGCUCCAGACUUCGUGUAUCAGUGUAUGUGUACGAUGCUGGGGCUGCACCGGUGAGUGUGUCGGGUUUCAGAGGAUCAGGGCAAAGAGCAUAGCAAACCCAGGGGGUGAGAGGCCUUCUCCUGUAGGAGAAGCUCCUGGUGCAUCUCUCGUCUCUCCACAGUGCAGGAAGUGGCUGUGAACCUUCAGGAGUAGGAUCAGCAUCCAAGCCCCUCCUUGUCGACCGUUGCCAGCCAGCAUCGUGUUGAGUGGACCCACUCUGCUCGGCCCUCGACCUCCACAGCCGUUCCGAUCACCAACAUCACCUUAUAUGGAUCCUCCUAAGAGAAAAAGAUUCUUUCCAAAGACUCGAUUAGUACACAAUCACUACACUUAAAACAAUGAAUGGCCUCCUCCGAUGGUUCUGGGAGCCUUUCAGUGACCUGCACAUGAAAUGUUCUUAGUAUCUCAGUUAGACGUUUCACAUACUCAGCCAUUCAUUCAUCAGUCCAUAACAGAGUGACUGUGUGUGGUCAAAGUUGCACUAGCUCCUGUGGACAUAGACCGUCCCAUGAGAACCUCAUGGGGGCUCAGUCCUGUGGUCAAAUUUGCAGUGCUGAGAAUUGAAUACAGCACAAUUGAGAUAAUUGGGAGGGCAUUGUGACCGCUGGGAAAAGAGCUUAAAAUAGGUAAAGUUAAUAAAACUCCCCAAAUCUUUUAAAUAUCUCAGACUAUGAGUAAUGAGUACUUUUCAGUUUUUACUUUCAGUUUUAUUUCUGACAGUAGGUGUCACUGUUGUGCCAGAAGCAGUGGGGAAGGCGCAGUUCAAGCCACCUCUGUUCCAUACGUCAGAGUAAACAUGGCGCUGAUCUGACCGCAUGUUAACGUGUCCUUUUUCUCACUGCUUCACAGGUAAAUAAGCGUGAAAACCACGUUAAAGCGACAAGAAUAUCACUCUGAUUUUUCCUGGUUAACCACCCGACCAGCAUUGUGUCCGUAGUUGUUGGUAACCGAGUGAGUGUGGUUUUGUUGUGUGUGUGUAAACUACGUUAGCAUAUUCGUAGCUCGUAGCCUCACAUAGCCGGGAGCGACUACAAGGCAACGUAAUACUUACAAUGCCCAGUAGAUGGGAAUGAGAAUGUGUGAAUAUGUGUGUAAUAUAUUGUAUUAUAUGAGUUAAGUACUUGCACACUCUUGUGAUGCUGUAGUUCUCAGACAGCUACACAGUAAGACAGCUCUCUGUGUUUGCUCUUGUCUGAAGUAGUAAGUUCGUGUUGUAAGUUUAUCAUGCAUUAGACAUUACAUGUCAAAUCUGCUAAAACUGACUUGGUUAAGCAUGGGUUGCAUUUUUGAAGUUGUAUGUGUGUAUGUAUGUGAAUACAGGCACCAUAAAUAACUGGUGUUUUGAUGAUGUUGUGAUGUUGAAUUGAAUAUUGAAUGUUGGCUUGAUAAAAUUUACAUGAUCUGGGUUUAGGAAGAUGCAGACAACUUAUUGAAUUGUAUUUGUUUUUUCUGUAUUUAAUAGUGCAACUAUGUUUUGCAUAUUGUCUGUAAUCUUCUGCAUCUCUGUUCCAUACGUCAGAGUAAACAUGGCGCUGAUCUGACCGCA
Molecule: RNA transcript, 7393 nt
Organism: Acanthochromis polyacanthus (spiny chromis)
Lineage: Eukaryota; Metazoa; Chordata; Actinopteri; Pomacentridae
Gene name: zinc finger protein OZF-like
Exons: 4
Source: RefSeq, a predicted model, not a curated record